RNAcentral lists this ribosomal RNA (948 nucleotides) under Inocybe horakomyces. Its description in RNAcentral is "eukaryotic LSU rRNA". It matches the Rfam family "Eukaryotic large subunit ribosomal RNA", at positions 32 to 964 of the family's 3401-position model. The record is from RNAcentral. Lineage: Eukaryota; Fungi; Basidiomycota; Agaricomycetes; Agaricales; Inocybaceae.
ACUUAAGCAUAUCAAUAAGCGGAGGAAAAGAAACUAACAAGGAUUCCCCUAGUAACUGCGAGUGAAGCGGGAAGAGCUCAAAUUUGAAAUCUGGCGGUUCUUUAACUGUCCGAAUUGUAAUCUAGAGAAGUGCUACCUGUGCUGGACCAUGUACAAGUCUCCUGGAAUGGAGCAUCAUAGAGGGUGAGAAUCCCGUCUUUGACAUGGACUACCUGUACAUUAUGGUGUGCUCUCGAAGAGUCGAGUUGUUUGGGAAUGCAGCUCAAAAUGGGUGGUAAAUGCCAUCUAAAGCUAAAUAUUGGCGAGAGACCGAUAGCGAACAAGUACCGUGAGGGAAAGAUGAAAAGAACUUUGGAAAGAGAGUUAAACAGUACGUGAAAUUGCUGAAAGGGAAACGCUUGAAGUCAGUCACAUUGGCUAGAAAUCAGCCUUGCUUUUGCUUGGUGUACUUUCUGGUUGAUGGGUCAGCAUCAAUUUUGACCAUUGGAUAAAGUCUUUGGGAAUGUGGCAUCUUCGGAUGUGUUAUAGCCCAUUGUCACAUGCAAUGGUUGGGAUUGAGGAACUCAGCACGCCGCAAGGCCGGGUUUCGACCACGUUCGUGCUUAGGAUGCUGGCAUAAUGGCUUUAAUCGACCCGUCUUGAAACACGGACCAAGGAGUCUAACAUGCCUGCGAGUGUUUGGGUGGAAAACCCAUGCGCGUAAUGAAAGUGAAAGUUGAGAUCCCUGUAAUAAGGGGAGCAUUGACGCCCGGACCAGACCUUUUGUGACGGAUCCGCGGUAGAGCAUGUAUGUUGGGACCCGAAAGAUGGUGAACUAUGCCUGAAUAGGGUGAAGCCAGAGGAAACUCUGGUGGAGGCUCGUAGCGAUUCUGACGUGCAAAUCGAUCGUCAAAUUUGGGUAUAGGGGCGAAAGACUAAUCGAACCAUCUAGUAGCUGGUUCCUGCCGA